RNAcentral lists this small RNA (442 nucleotides) under Pan troglodytes (chimpanzee). Its description in RNAcentral is "processed transcript". Lineage: Eukaryota; Metazoa; Chordata; Mammalia; Primates; Hominidae. The record is from RNAcentral.
AUGCUGUACACCAGGCCGGCCGCUCCUGCCGUGCAAAUGUUCCUCAGCAGCACAUAGCACCUAUCGGGUCCAGGAGCCGGCUGUGCACAUCCCAGGACAGGAGCCCCUGACGGCGUCCAUGCUGGCUGCGGCGCCCCUGCAUGAGCAAAAGCAGAUGAUUGAAGGUGUUCCACACAGGGGAGCGUCUCUACCCCCUUAUCCAUGAUGUCCACACCCAGCUGGCUGGCAAGAUCACGGGCAUGCUGCUGGAGAUUGACAACUCGGAGCUGUUGCUCAUGCUGGAGUCUCCAGAAUCCCUCCAUGCCAAGAUAGACGAGGCAGUGGCCGUGCUGCAGGCACACCAGGCUAUGGAGCAGCCGAAGGCGUACAUGCACUGAAACCAGAAAAGGAAAUCCUCGCUUCCAUGGCUGCCAAAAGGACAGUGUUUCUGGCUCUCAGCCCU